This 503-nucleotide ribosomal RNA is filed under the name uncultured bacterium. Its description in RNAcentral is "bacterial SSU rRNA". It matches the Rfam family "Bacterial small subunit ribosomal RNA", at positions 28 to 503 of the family's 1533-position model. The record is from RNAcentral.
GAUGUACGCUGGCGGCGUGGAUAAGACAUGCAAGUCGAACGCUGAUUCGAGGGUAGCAAUAUUCUCGAGUCAGAGUGGCGCAAGGGUGCGUAACACGUGGGCAAUCUACCGCGAAGACCGGAAUAACCUGCUGAAAGGCGGGCUAAUGCCGGAUGUGACUGUCUGGAGGAUUCUUCGGACACUCAAAGUUGGGGACCGUAAGGCCUGACACUUCGCGAUGAGCCCGCGGCCUAUCAGCUAGUUGGCGGGGUAACGGCCCACCAAGGCUAAGACGGGUAGCUGGUCUGAGAGGACGACCAGCCACACUGGAACUGAGACACGGUCCAGACACCUACGGGUGGCAGCAGUCGAGAAUUUUUCACAAUGGGCGAAAGCCUGAUGGAGCGACGCCGCGUGGGGGAUGAAGGGCUUCGGCUCGUAAACCCCUGUCAUUCGAGAACAAACCCUGCGAUUUAAUAGAUCGCGGGCUGGAUAGUAUCGGAAGAGGAAGGGACGGCGUAACU